Molecule: ribosomal RNA, 210 nt
Filed under: Escherichia coli
Lineage: Bacteria; Pseudomonadati; Pseudomonadota; Gammaproteobacteria; Enterobacterales; Enterobacteriaceae
Description: partial 23S ribosomal RNA
Rfam family: Bacterial large subunit ribosomal RNA
Source: RNAcentral
UGCCCGGUAGCUAAAUGCGGAAGAGAUAAGUGCUGAAAGCAUCUAAGCACGAAACUUGCCCCGAGAUGAGUUCUCCCUGACCCUUUAAGGGUCCUGAAGGAACGUUGAAGACGACGACGUUGAUAGGCCGGGUGUGUAAGCGCAGCGAUGCGUUGAGCUAACCGGUACUAAUGAACCGUGAGGCUUAACCUUACAACGCCGAAGGUGUUU